This 157-nucleotide unclassified non-coding RNA is filed under the name uncultured fungus. Its description in RNAcentral is "sequence contains ITS1". The stretch from base 1 to 104 matches the Rfam family "5.8S ribosomal RNA", at positions 50 to 154 of the family's 154-position model. From Rfam's summary of the family: 5.8S ribosomal RNA (5.8S rRNA) is a component of the large subunit of the eukaryotic ribosome. It is transcribed by RNA polymerase I as part of the 45S precursor that also contains 18S and 28S rRNA. The record is from RNAcentral. Lineage: Eukaryota; Fungi.
GAAGUGCGAUAAGCAAUGCGAAUUGCAGAACCGUGAGUCAUCAGAUUUUUGAACGCAACUGGCGCUGGCUGGGUCUCCAGCCAGCAUGCUUGAUUUCAGAUGCAAAGAAAGUUUAAGUGACUAAGCACUGACAGCGUUAGCUGACAAUUCCUACUCC